Capra hircus (goat) is the source of this 118-nucleotide small nuclear RNA. Its record names the gene U4. It matches the Rfam family "U4 spliceosomal RNA". Rfam says of the family: U4 small nuclear RNA (U4 snRNA) is a component of the major U2-dependent spliceosome. The record is from Ensembl. NCBI's taxonomy places the organism in Eukaryota, Metazoa, Chordata, Mammalia, Artiodactyla, Bovidae.
AGCUUUGAGCAGUGGUAGCACCGUCGUCUCUGAGGUUUAACCAAGGCACGAUUGUUACUGAUUGAAAACAUGAGACCAAAUUCCAGCCCCCUCCUCCCCACAGUGGCAGGCUGAGGCU